UACUAGGAAGUGAGAAAAUUACAUGCGGUUUCGGCCCGUUUCUUGAUAGUGAAAGUCUGUCCCUAUUAA
Molecule: transfer RNA, 69 nt
Filed under: Bolma rugosa
Lineage: Eukaryota; Metazoa; Mollusca; Gastropoda; Trochida; Turbinidae
Description: tRNA-Arg
Source: RNAcentral